CCUACGGGGGGCUGCAGUGGGGAAUAUUGGACAAUGGGCGCAAGCCUGAUCCAGCCAUGCCGCGUGAGUGAUGAAGGCCUUAGGGUUGUAAAGCUCUUUCGCCAGGGACGAUAAUGACGGUACCUGGAUAAGAAGCCCCGGCAAACUUCGUGCCAGCAGCCGCGGUAAUACGAAGGGGGCUAGCGUUGUUCGGAAUCACUGGGCGUAAAGCGCAUGCAGGCGGAUCGUUAAGUCGGGGGUGAAAUCCCGAGGCUCAACCUCGGAACUGCCUCCGAUACUGGCGAUCUUGAGUCCGGAAGAGGUGAGUGGAAUUGCGAGUGUAGAGGUGAAAUUCGUAGAUAUUCGCAAGAACACCAGUGGCGAAGGCGGCUCACUGGUCCGGUACUGACGCUGAGAUGCGAAAGCGUGGGGAGCAAACAGGAUUAGAUACCCCGGUAGUCGU
RNAcentral lists this ribosomal RNA (442 nucleotides) under uncultured Hyphomicrobiales bacterium. RNAcentral's name for it is "bacterial SSU rRNA". It matches the Rfam family "Bacterial small subunit ribosomal RNA", at positions 338 to 797 of the family's 1533-position model. The record is from RNAcentral. Lineage: Bacteria; Pseudomonadati; Pseudomonadota; Alphaproteobacteria; Hyphomicrobiales.